Molecule: transfer RNA, 72 nt
Filed under: Ovis aries (sheep)
Lineage: Eukaryota; Metazoa; Chordata; Mammalia; Artiodactyla; Bovidae
Rfam family: tRNA
About the family: Transfer RNA (tRNA) molecules are approximately 80 nucleotides in length. Their secondary structure includes four short double-helical elements and three loops (D, anti-codon, and T loops).
Source: Rfam by way of RNAcentral
UCCCUGGUGGCUUACGGGUUAAAGAGUCUGCCUGCAAUGCAGGAGAUCCAGGUUCAAUCCCUGGCUUGGGAA